AAUUUUUCGCAAUGGGGGAAACCCUGACGCAGCGACGCCGCGUGAGCGACGAAGGCCUUCGGGUCGUAAAGCUCAGUCAUUGGGGAUGAAAAGGACAGUACCCAAAGAGGAAGCCCCGGCUAACUACGUGCCAGCAGCCGCGGUAAUACGUAGGGGGCGAGCGUUGUCCGGAAUUACUGGGUGUAAAGGGCGUGUAGGCGGGGAUACAAGUUACCGGUAAAAACCCGAGGCUCAACCACGGGCUUGCCGAUAAAACUGUAUUUCUUGAGUGUAGGAGAGGGAAGUGGAAUUCCUGGAGUAGCGGUGAAAUGCGUAGAUACCAGGAGGAACACCAGUGGCGAAGGCGGCUUCCUGGCCUAUCACUGACGCUGAGGCGCGAAAGCUAGGGUAGCGAAC
RNAcentral lists this ribosomal RNA (396 nucleotides) under uncultured bacterium. RNAcentral's name for it is "partial 16S ribosomal RNA". It matches the Rfam family "Bacterial small subunit ribosomal RNA", at positions 360 to 773 of the family's 1533-position model. The record is from RNAcentral.